AUAAUGGAGAGUUUGAUCCUGGCUCAGGACGAACGCUGGCGGCAUGCCUAAUACAUGCAAGUC
Molecule: ribosomal RNA, 63 nt
Filed under: Planococcus koreensis
Lineage: Bacteria; Bacillati; Bacillota; Bacilli; Caryophanales; Caryophanaceae
Also listed under: 1 other name
Description: partial 16S ribosomal RNA
Rfam family: Bacterial small subunit ribosomal RNA
Source: RNAcentral